This 69-nucleotide transfer RNA is filed under the name Sorex araneus (European shrew). Its description in RNAcentral is "tRNA-Arg". It matches the Rfam family "tRNA". From Rfam's summary of the family: Transfer RNA (tRNA) molecules are approximately 80 nucleotides in length. Their secondary structure includes four short double-helical elements and three loops (D, anti-codon, and T loops). Lineage: Eukaryota; Metazoa; Chordata; Mammalia; Eulipotyphla; Soricidae. The record is from RNAcentral.
UAGUAAUUAGUUUAACCCAAAACAAAUGAUUUCGACUCAUUAGAUUGUGAUUUAUUUCACAAUUACUAA